UAGAAUUAUAAGAUCUCAGAGCUGAGAGAAUCUUAGGACUCCCUUAUUCUCAUCCUUUUGUGGGUGAAGAUAUCGAGAUUCAAAUAGUUUUCACAGAGCUUUUAAAAUGUGAAGAUAUUCUGUUAGAGUCUUGCCAACAGCCAAGUCAAUUUAAACGUUUGGGCUUUCUAGUUCAAGUUCCAUUUACUUUCUCAAGGUUCAUGAACCUUUCCCACUCAGAUCCAGGUCUGGGUGUGGCGGUCAUUGUUUGCCAUCCUUUCAUCCUGCUUCUUCAACCCACUUGCCGAGAACUUAGCUCACUCCCUCCUCUGCCUCCUCCUCUCCUGCUGACCCUGGAAGAAACACACAUUUAGUCCAAGGACUCCCUCUUCUAACUUCUCCAUCUACCUUUCACCAUCACCUGGCUCCAAACGGGCCCCAAUAGAUGGAGGACUUUGGAGAAGAGAGGGUCAUUUAAUUAGGAAAACGCUUAGUUUUUUUCCCCAUAAAUCUGAAUGUUUUCUGAACAAUAGAUAAAGGAGUUUUGGAAAAUCCAUGAUUGUGUCUUUAAAAAAUCUCUGGUUCAUUUAACCUGGUUAAUCUAGAGUUGCUAUGGGUUGUUCAAAGAAAAAGUGUGAGCAGCCCAUCUGCAUCAUGGAUGUGUAGGCGUCGAAACAUGGAUCUGAUCAGAGGUUGCUGUACUUUUUUUUGUGGUUCUUUUGGGGUCCAAGUCAAAAUUAUGACUUGCUCUGUAAUAUCGGAAGGUGGAGGUGGGGAGGUAUCGUGUGUCCAGGUGCAGAAGAAUGAACAGUGCUUUACUCUCUCUCCUUUCGGUCUUACGUUGCUGAAAAUCCAACCAGUAGUGUCAUAAAGAAACUGGGGUGUCUCUUUCCUCUCAUAACAGGAAUCUUGGAGGUGGCUUGGUGACGUUUGAGGUGUAGCAGGAUAACUUUGCCUCAAGCAAUUGAGGUCUGAGUGGUAGUGGUCAGGGCCAGAGAACUAAUUGACCAUCUGAAAUUUUCUUCAGAUUAACUGGAGAAACUAUUACCACACAUGGAUGCAGCAGCAUUCUAUGAGGAGACGCUCUCCGAACAGCCAGGGUUAAAGGUUAGCAAUAAGCAUAAUAACGGGGGUGCUGGUGCUUAGGGCUCCGGUGGGAAAGUACAGGAGGUUCUAACAUGGCUCGUUGCACAUUUUCCCGUUUCUCACCCAGGCGCUGGUGCUGAUGGUCAUUCUCGCUCCUGGCUGGAAGCUCCCUGGAGAGGCACUGGUGGCAGCAGAAUUCUCACCUUCUCGAGGUGCUCAGGGUAUGUCUGGAGGUUGACUUCUCUGUUCAAAGGAGGGGAGUUGAGAGAGAUUUUUUUUCUCAGCUGCGGUUUGCUCGGGUGUUUUUGUUUUGAAGUGCAGCUGUCCCUCUGUAAUCCGAGGGGUGUGCGUCUGCAGAUUUAACCAACCUCAGAUGAACGGGGCGGUUGCCUGAGUUUUGGCCAUGACGGAGUUUUUCCACUCAGACUAAACAUUGAUCCGGGUGUCCUAGGGCUUCUUGAUUUUUCCCAGAUCUUGAAUGUAAUAGAGGUACUUGUGUCUGUGUGUGAGCUCUUAGCUGGUUGGUCCCCAGUAAAGUAAACGUCACUUCUGUCUCCAAAAGGCCAUUAUAGCCUUUGUGGCCUACUGGUUAGGAUUCAGUGCUCUCAGCAAGACCGUUAUUGACUAAGAUAAGAAUUUUGGAAGCAGUGGAUGCUUUGCAUUCAGUUUCAGGUGAUAUUUUGGUAGGAUUGAUAGGGGCCCUACGGGGAAAUGUCCAUUUCAUGGAUUUUGAGAGAAAAAAACAGGUGAUCUAAGGUGCCUGGAAACAGAGACGAUGAAAAUACUGAGCAGAGGUGCGAACCUGUGGUUACGAGGAUGCUGAUCAGAAACAGGCUCUUCUCCCGAAGAAGAGGAUUUGGAGGGUCAGCUCUGCAGGCUGGGCCGUGUCUCCACCCUGGCUGCUGAGUGUCAGCUUUCUCACUUGUGAAGUGACACUCAUACUCUUUAUUUUUGUGUUUAAUUUAUACUGGAGUUUAGUUGAUUUACAGUGUUGCAUUGGUUUCAGGUGUACAGCAGAGUGAUCCAGUUCUACAUAUAACAGAAUAUCGACAUGCUCUUUUACUUUAAAUAAGAUAAUAUGUGCAGAUGUACUGAAUAAACUGAAAAGAAAUUCUUCAUGACUUCCCAGUUCACACAUGGGCAAAAAAAGAGGUCAAGUGAAUUAUUCUGAGGGGCGUCCUUUAGCAAGAAUCAUGUUAGGUCAGUUGAGCAAGAAUUCUCCGACCCUCACAGCAAUUUUCCAUCUGCUGACCCUCCACCCCCACCCCGCUCCUUGCCUGUAAAAUCCCUACUUUUCCUUAUUCUGUUCUGACAUGAGCUAGAGCUCUCUCUCCUACUGCAAAACCCCAUUGCAGUGCUCCCCAUAACUAUUGCAGUGGUCCUGGGUAAAAAAUACCUUACUGUUCUUUAACAGGUGUCAUGAUUUUUUUUCCUGUAACAUAGUCAUGCUUUUUCUCAGAGAUCAAGAUGUUGUAUCUUAUUUCAUGGAUCAGUUUGCUGUAGGUAAUUUUUUUCUCCCAUCUUUCCUUGCAGAAUGUACCUAUGUAGUCAGAUAAACUUGUAUAACUAUUUCCAAGAGGAAUAUUAUUCGGACAAUUUGUUCCUUCUGUUUGGUGUACUGGUAAAGGAACCAGGCAAUAGAAAUGUAAAAUUAGUGAAUUCUUUGGACAGUAAAAGCCUAUAAAAAGGAACACAGGGAUUUCUAUUCAGGUUUGCCUGUGGGAAAACAUAGAUCAGGAUGGAGUGGCUGGAUGCGAAUUGCUUCAUCUAAAAAUGACACAACCGUUUUAGUACAACAUGGGAUGGCAUCUUUGUCGUGUAAGCCUAGGUUUAAGAAUAUUUACAACCCAGUGGUUCUAGAGUCUUGAGGGAUUUUAUUUCUCUUCUAUUCCACACUGGUUGGUUUUUCUAACAUGGAUUUCUGUAGCUGUCCUCUGCUCCAUCCAACACAGAUGGACUGUGGUUUCACAAAUUUUGGAUGGAGAUUAUGUUCCUAGUUUUUAUUUUAUUUCCUUUAUCAUGAGGCACUUCUGACAAGUCUCAACCUGUUGAAACAGCUCAUUUUCCUGCAAUCUAUUGAGUAUGUUGGUGUCAGGAGAAGGAAGGGGGAUUUUAAAGUUUUUUUUUUUUUUUUUUUGGUUUGCUUGCUUGUUUCCAAACCUCACCUUAUCCAGUAAGUGCUGGAAAGAACUGAUGAGCCACAGUUCAGUAGAGAAAGCAGCCGGUGGAGAAUCACUGCCAGUCAAGGCACAUCCCUGUUACCUGGCCAUUUUAUCUUUACAAACUCACAUUUAAGGAAUCUCAAGGGAAUAGUUUUCCCGUAAUGGAAGAGAAUGAAGCCCACUAACUUUGAUUUUAUUUUUAAAAAUUAAAAAAAAAACCUUUACCACAUAACUAAAUUUACUUUCAAACAGCUGUGUUUGUUUAUGAUUGCGAAAUUAAUCACGUUUAAAUCUAUUCUAAUUCCUUAGCUGCUUUUUGUCUCUAAAACAUACUGAUACUUGGAAUUGAGGAUUUUCUGUCUUCAUGCUCACUUUCCAGGUUGGAAUCCUAGGUACAUCAGGGAAGCUCUCCUAGUCAACACAGGAGACGCGGGGAAAAUCAGGUUGCUAGAAGCUCCUUCUCAGUCAUUUUUUGGACCGUAAGAGCUGAACAAUGUUUGUCAGUAGUGAGGUGGGCGCCUUAUUCGGUACGAACUUUACUGGCUCCCUGAGUGAUGACAUCGCACUGGAGUGCAUGCCUUUAGCACUGUCACAUCCUUCUCCUGAAGAGGUAACACGGGUCUCAGGAAUUUCUGCAUGUCUUUGAAUUGUGUCAGAAACCGAUCAGCGUCACCCUUCCAGGUCUCCUAAUUGUAGGUUUAAUACGGGAAAGUGCAUCUAAUUAGGGAUCCUUUCCUGGUGCAGAUAUUUUUAGAAGCAGAUUUAGACGACAAGGAUUCAAUUCAACUAUGUCCAUUAUGUUUAAAGGUGACCUUAGAGUAUGUGUUUUCAUCAUUUCCCCACAGUAGAGCUGGCCUUGUGCUGGUGCACUAGAGCUGUCACACCUGGCUCCCUUGUGAUCAGAGACAUGCCAAGAGAGAGUGACACUCUGAGAGCAGAUCCAAUCCAUGACCUUUGCCUCAUUAGCAGCCUGACCCAACCAAUCAGAGAAAAGGCUGCCUUUGAUUCUGUAGCACAGACAUGGCUGUGACAAGGACAGUGAUCGACUCCUUGAUAUGACUCCCAGAGGAAGCCCGGGUUCUCUUUGAAAUGCUUUGUCCGUGCUGACAUACCAGUGUAGGAUGCCUUUCACUUGGCUGUCUUUCUCCCCCUCUGGAUCUCAUUCUCUCUUUAAUUAAAAUGCCAGCAUGCUCAGGUUACCCACUGAUCUUACGUAAAUGCAAGUCAUAUAUCUAUUUCCUUUUUCUCAGAAAUGCAUCAAACACUCACAGAUAUGCACUGAAAUUCAAUAUCUAUAUUUUUAGAUUUUCUUAAUUAAAAAAAGUAACUGUUCAUUAGCAAUAGUUCUAGAAUUACUAAAUAAAAGGUAGCAAAAUAGUACAAAAACUUUCAGUGUACCCUUCACCUGGCUUACCCAGAUGUUGACGUCUUAUUGUCUUAGCAUAAUGAUUGAGAGAGUGUGGAAUCCACUAGGGAAGCAUAAUGAUCAAAACCAGGAAAUUAACAUAAAAUAUGAUUAACUAAUCUUCAGACUUUAUUAAAAAUUUCCCCAUUGUUCCACCAGUAUCCCUGUUCUGAUUUAGGAGCCAGUCCAGGAUCACACAUUGCAUUUAGUAGUCCCGAUUUCUUAGUCUCUUCCAAUCUGGGACCAUUUCUCUGUCUUGACUUUUGAAGAAUACCAGCUAGUUACUUUGUAAAACGUCCCUCAAUUUGAGGUAGGCGGUGCUUUCUUCAUAUCAAAAUCAGACGACGCAUUUCUUUUCGGUAAGAAACCACCAUGGUGAUGUUGUGUCCUUCUCAGUCCAUCACUGUAUUAAUUACUCUGAUCACCGGUAAUGCUCACUCUGAUCACUUACGAUGCUGUCUGCCACUGUAAAGGGACUAGUCUACCCUUUGAGAUUAAAAAAAAUAAAAUAAAAUUUCUCCACAAAUUAUGUUGUGGAGAGAUAACCAAAGAUUAUAUAAGCAUACUGUCUCUUACAAUAUUUACUUAAAUCUUUGGAUUUUUCCAACUAAAAAGUGUAAGCAGAUGAAUAAAAUCAAAAAAGAAUUAAGGGAAUUCCCAUCUUGGCUCAGUGGAAAUGAAUCCGACUAGGAUCCUUGAGGACACAGGUUUGAUCCUUGGCCUUGCUCAGCAAGUUAGGGAUCUGGUUGCCAUGAGCUGUGGUGUAGGUCACAGAUGAGGCUUGGAUCUGGUGUUGCUAUCUAUGGCUGUGGUGUAGGCUGGUGGCUACAGCUCUGAUUCAACCUCUAGCCUGGGAACCUCCAUAUGCUGGGGAUGCGGCUCUAAAAAGACAAAAAACAAACAAAAAAGAAUUAAACAAAUGCAGAGAUAUUCCAUGACCAUGAUAGAAAGACUCAACGUUGUCAUGACAUCAGUUCUCAAUUUGAUCUGUAGGUUCAGUGGACUCCAAGUCAAAAUCCCAGCAAGUUAUUUUGUGAAUAUUGACAAACUCAUUCUAAAGUUUACGUGGAGCAGCAAAAGACCUAGAAUAGUCAACACAAUAUUGAAGGAGAAGAACACAGUUAGAGGACUUAUGCUACCUGACUUCAAGACUUAUUUAAGACAGCCUUUUCAAUAAAUGCUGCUGGCAAAACGGAACAUCCACAUGCAAAAUAAUGAAUUAGACAUAGACGUUACUACCCAUCCAUCUCAAGAAUCAACUCUAAAAGGAUUACAGCUCUAAAUGUAAACCCCCAAAACUAUAAAGCUCCUAGAAGGUAAUAGAGGGGAAAACCUAGAUAACCUUGCAUAUAGCAGUAACUUUUUACAUACAACACCAAAGACACAAGGCAUGAAGGAACUAAUCGGCAAGCUAGAUUUCAUUAAAAUAAAAACUUCUGUUUUGCGAAAGACAACGUCAAGAGAAUGAGAAGACAAGCCCAAACUGAGAGAAACAUACUUGCAAAAGAUAUCUGGUAAAGGAUUGUUAAGCAAAACAUACAAAGAACUCUUAAAACUCAACAAUAAAACAAUUAAAAAAUGAGCCAAAGACCUUAAUAGACACCUGUUAUUGUCGAUAAUAAAGUAUAUACAAAGAUGUCCACAGCAUGUGUCAUCAGGGAAAUUUGAAUUAAACAAAAAUGACAUAAAACUAUACACCAUUAAAGUGACCAAAAUCCAGAACACUAAUAAGACCAAAAGCUGAUAAGAAUGUAGAGCAACAGGAACUCACAUUGAUUGCUGGUGGGAAAUGCUAAAUGGCACAGCCACAUUGGAAGGCAGUCUGGAAGGUUUUUAGUAAAUGAAACAUACUUUACCAUGUGAUUCAGCAUUGAUGUUCCUUGAAACUUACCCAAGAAGCUGAAAACUUACGUACAGCAAAAAACCUGCACAUGGAUUUUUAUAGAAGCAUUAUUCAUAACUUCUAAAAUUUAGAAGCAACCAAGAUGUCCUUCAGCAGGUGAAUGGAUAAAUAACCCGUGAUACAUCCUGAUAAUGGAAUACGAUGCAGCACUAAAAAAGAAAUGAACUAUCAAGCCUUGAAAAGACAUGAAAGAACCUUAAUUGCAUAUUAUCAAGUGAAAGAAGACAAUCUGAAAGGUUACACACUCUAUGAUUCCAACUAUAUAAUAUUCCAGAAAAGGCAAAACUAUGGAUAUAAAAAAGAUCAGUGGUUUCUAGGGGUUGGAAAGUGGAGAGGGCUGAAUAGGCAGAGUAGGGGAAAUUUUUUGGGCAGUGACAAUACUCUGUAUGAUACCGUAAUGAUG
Molecule: long non-coding RNA, 6938 nt
Filed under: Sus scrofa (pig)
Lineage: Eukaryota; Metazoa; Chordata; Mammalia; Artiodactyla; Suidae
Description: lncRNA (ENSSSCG00040035951.1)
Source: RNAcentral